GGCCCAGGUGGGCGGGGUGACCAGGCGGGGGCGGAGGUGGGGGCUGCCCUUCCCUCCAAGGUCUGUGGCCAGAACCUGGAGCUGGGAAGGGGAGCUGACCCCCUUAGGAGCCAUUUUCUCCUCUUUACCCAAUGGCUGGGAAAGCCCGAGGCUCUUUCUUUUGGCAUCACAGCCAGGACGCCAGCCCGCGGAGGACAGGCUGAGGGGCGGGAAACCAGCCCCCGCUCCACUGUGUGCUUGCGGUGCUGAGUCGACCUUGCUUCUCCAGGAUAGGAGUGUGAUAAACAGUGAUUAUGGCUAAAGUUUGUGGUGUUUGUGUCUCCGCAGAUCAAAACUCUGUCUCCCCUCUGUGAACACAAGCCAUCAAAAGCUGAUCUGUAUUUAAUUUUCUCUGGGUGGUCCCGGGUUGACAUCUUGCCCUUUGGUCUCACCCUAGAAACUAGGGACCCGAUCCUUUGUUCCGUCUGCUUCUAAGAUAGCACGCCUCCCCGCUGCUGGCCUGGCCUGGGAUUUCAGGCCUGGCCUGAAACUUCAUCUGAUGCUAGAAGGAACAAGAGAACCUUACAUUUCCUGGUGAACAUUCUGGGCGAAAAGCAAGUGUCCCGGUCGCAUCUGUGCACAACUGGUCUGCGUUCACGAGAAAGCUGCAGAGCCACAGACAACCAACCCCUCCGACCCCUCUGGUGGAAUGUGUCUCUCUUGGCAUCUGCAAGGUCCAGGGAUGAAAUGAUACUUCAAGGUCGGGGACUUUGCUCACCUGUGCGGGGGCAUUUAUCACUCCCACCGGAGCCUUCCUGGAGAUGCGUUCAGAGAUAAACUCAUUCAGACGUGGCCAUGAAAUCUGAGGCUGGGAAAGUGGGCUUGAAAAGCUCCUCUUAAGGUCUCUUACAUUUCAGGUGAGUCAGAAUUCCAUGAACUUACCGACAGAAGCUCUGAUGACAUGCCCAUGACCUGGGUGAUCCCAGGUCUCCCUGACAUUCUGCCACCCUUUUGGUCCUUCAAGUCACCUGUG
Molecule: long non-coding RNA, 1012 nt
Filed under: Neogale vison (American mink)
Lineage: Eukaryota; Metazoa; Chordata; Mammalia; Carnivora; Mustelidae
Description: Neovison vison (American mink) lncRNA (ENSNVIG00000006830.1)
Source: RNAcentral